Molecule: long non-coding RNA, 1311 nt
Organism: Gallus gallus (chicken)
Lineage: Eukaryota; Metazoa; Chordata; Aves; Galliformes; Phasianidae
Source: Ensembl
AAUCACUGGUUCAGGCCAUGACUUAGCAUUUUUUGCUACAUCUCCUCUUUGAAUCAGAAGUAGAAACUGAAGAGAUUUCCACAUCAGCCUCUUACUGUCAUAAGCUGAGUACCUGAAAGCAUAUCUAGGAACAGAUGAAGAUGUAUUAAGGAAGUGUACUAGUGUUCGCUGAGUGACCAGAAGAACCCUGACCUCAUUUAAGGGUUGGCAGUGGAGGAGGGGGUAUCUUGCCUGAAGGUCCCUUCCUACUUGAGGCCUUCUGAAGAUAAGUCUGACUUCCUUAAAUUGUGACAUUUCAAUGGACAAGUAAAGUUGUUCAGAGGACACUGGGAAAACCAGGAGUGAUAUGAAGACUUUCCUUGACUUUUCUGUGCUGAUACAGACUGCUUGGAAUAAUCGGUGAGACUUCUCCAGGAUAUCGAAGCCCAGGAAGAAAGGAAAUUGAAAUGGUUCUUCUAUGUUUUUUCUUCCCUCUUUUUAAAUCCUUACCAAACAAUAUGCAUCAUUACAAAUUGGCUCAUUGGUUGGGAACCAGUACCUCAGGGAUACCUGUCAGUGGCAUGUACCACCACUUGGCAAGGUAAUGCAGAAAUUGCCACUACUGAAAUGUGUAGGACUGAGAUGUGCUGGACCCUGUACUGUUUGUCUUGACAAAUUUGAUGUUGAAUGCUAAGCAGAGGACCACAUCAUAGGACAAACAAUGAUCUCUGUAUAGUGAUGGUCAUCUUCUCUUCCUGUGUUUUGAUAGGUCUACUAAGUCAAGGUGAGACCUUUUGGACUUUUUGGUGUUUCCUCCACAUUGCCUUCACACAUGCAGUGGUAGUUAUGGACUUAGUAGAUUGCCAAACAAGCGGGAUUCUUAUUUGGAAUCUUGGUGGACUUAAUUUUUAUUUUAGAUAAUUUGCUCAUUCUAUGUAUUGGGCCAAUCACUUUUUUUCCAAAUUAGUGUUGAAAUAGAAGUAAUUUGUCUCAAUAUGCUCUCAGGUCAGUGCACAAGCAACAUUAAAGACUUGGCACCUCUAUUGUGAAUACAUGCAGUGUGCUGAAUAUAUCUUUAUACUCUUAUAUUCUAAGAUUCUUUCAGAUCACCUUAGAGAGGAAUGCCCUUAGAGCAGUAAUUUUAAGAGAGUAUAUUGGGUUUUGUACAGGUUGUUGACAAUUUGGUUGUCUGCCAAAGAAUUCUCAGUUUGUUUUUUUUUUUAAUGUAGCGAUUUUGAUCUCAGUGCCCCACUAUGCUCCUGGAAUGGAACCAAUGAGUUACUGCUAUGAUGACGUGUAUAGAUCCUUUAUUAAAUCGCUAUGUGGCCAAAG